UUAAGCGACUAAGCGUACACGGUGGAUGCCCUGGCAGUCAGAGGCGAUGAAGGACGUGCUAAUCUGCGAUAAGCGUCGGUAAGGUGAUAUGAACCGUUAUAACCGGCGAUUUCCGAAUGGGGAAACCCAGUGUGAUUCGUCACACUAUCAUUAACUGAAUCCAUAGGUUAAUGAGGCGAACCGGGGGAACUGAAACAUCUAAGUACCCCGAGGAAAAGAAAUCAACCGAGAUUCCCCCAGUAGCGGCGAGCGAACGGGGAGCAGCCCAGAGCCUGAAUCAGUGUGUGUGUUAGUGGAAGCGUCUGGAAAGGCGCGCGAUACAGGGUGACAGCCCCGUACACAAAAAUGCACAUACUGUGAGCUCGAUGAGUAGGGCGGGACACGUGGUAUCCUGUCUGAAUAUGGGGGGACCAUCCUCCAAGGCUAAAUACUCCUGACUGACCGAUAGUGAACCAGUACCGUGAGGGAAAGGCGAAAAGAACCCCGGCGAGGGGAGUGAAAAAGAACCUGAAACCGUGUACGUACAAGCAGUGGGAGCCUCUUUAUGGGGUGACUGCGUACCUUUUGUAUAAUGGGUCAGCGACUUAUAUUCUGUAGCAAGGUUAACCGAAUAGGGGAGCCGAAGGGAAACCGAGUCUUAACUGGGCGUUAAGUUGCAGGGUAUAGACCCGAAACCCGGUGAUCUAGCCAUGGGCAGGUUGAAGGUUGGGUAACACUAACUGGAGGACCGAACCGACUAAUGUUGAAAAAUUAGCGGAUGACUUGUGGCUGGGGGUGAAAGGCCAAUCAAACCGGGAGAUAGCUGGUUCUCCCCGAAAGCUAUUUAGGUAGCGCCUCGUGAAUUCAUCUCCGGGGGUAGAGCACUGUUUCGGCAAGGGGGUCAUCCCGACUUACCAACCCGAUGCAAACUGCGAAUACCGGAGAAUGUUAUCACGGGAGACACACGGCGGGUGCUAACGUCCGUCGUGAAGAGGGAAACAACCCAGACCGCCAGCUAAGGUCCCAAAGUCAUGGUUAAGUGGGAAACGAUGUGGGAAGGCCCAGACAGCCAGGAUGUUGGCUUAGAAGCAGCCAUCAUUUAAAGAAAGCGUAAUAGCUCACUGGUCGAGUCGGCCUGCGCGGAAGAUGUAACGGGGCUAAACCAUGCACCGAAGCUGCGGCAGCGACACUAUGUGUUGUUGGGUAGGGGAGCGUUCUGUAAGCCUGUGAAGGUGUACUGUGAGGUAUGCUGGAGGUAUCAGAAGUGCGAAUGCUGACAUAAGUAACGAUAAAGCGGGUGAAAAGCCCGCUCGCCGGAAGACCAAGGGUUCCUGUCCAACGUUAAUCGGGGCAGGGUGAGUCGACCCCUAAGGCGAGGCCGAAAGGCGUAGUCGAUGGGAAACAGGUUAAUAUUCCUGUACUUGGUGUUACUGCGAAGGGGGGACGGAGAAGGCUAUGUUGGCCGGGCGACGGUUGUCCCGGUUUAAGCGUGUAGGCUGGUUUUCCAGGCAAAUCCGGAAAAUCAAGGCUGAGGCGUGAUGACGAGGCACUACGGUGCUGAAGCAACAAAUGCCCUGCUUCCAGGAAAAGCCUCUAAGCAUCAGGUAACAUCAAAUCGUACCCCAAACCGACACAGGUGGUCAGGUAGAGAAUACCAAGGCGCUUGAGAGAACUCGGGUGAAGGAACUAGGCAAAAUGGUGCCGUAACUUCGGGAGAAGGCACGCUGAUAUGUAGGUGAAGUCCCUCGCGGAUGGAGCUGAAAUCAGUCGAAGAUACCAGCUGGCUGCAACUGUUUAUUAAAAACACAGCACUGUGCAAACACGAAAGUGGACGUAUACGGUGUGACGCCUGCCCGGUGCCGGAAGGUUAAUUGAUGGGGUCAGCGCAAGCGAAGCUCUUGAUCGAAGCCCCGGUAAACGGCGGCCGUAACUAUAACGGUCCUAAGGUAGCGAAAUUCCUUGUCGGGUAAGUUCCGACCUGCACGAAUGGCGUAAUGAUGGCCAGGCUGUCUCCACCCGAGACUCAGUGAAAUUGAACUCGCUGUGAAGAUGCAGUGUACCCGCGGCAAGACGGAAAGACCCCGUGAACCUUUACUAUAGCUUGACACUGAACAUUGAGCCUUGAUGUGUAGGAUAGGUGGGAGGCUUUGAAGUGUGGACGCCAGUCUGCAUGGAGCCGACCUUGAAAUACCACCCUUUAAUGUUUGAUGUUCUAACGUUGGCCCGUGAUCCGGGUUGCGGACAGUGUCUGGUGGGUAGUUUGACUGGGGCGGUCUCCUCCUAAAGAGUAACGGAGGAGCACGAAGGUUGGCUAAUCCUGGUCGGACAUCAGGAGGUUAGUGCAAUGGCAUAAGCCAGCUUGACUGCGAGCGUGACGGCGCGAGCAGGUGCGAAAGCAGGUCAUAGUGAUCCGGUGGUUCUGAAUGGAAGGGCCAUCGCUCAACGGAUAAAAGGUACUCCGGGGAUAACAGGCUGAUACCGCCCAAGAGUUCAUAUCGACGGCGGUGUUUGGCACCUCGAUGUCGGCUCAUCACAUCCUGGGGCUGAAGUAGGUCCCAAGGGUAUGGCUGUUCGCCAUUUAAAGUGGUACGCGAGCUGGGUUUAGAACGUCGUGAGACAGUUCGGUCCCUAUCUGCCGUGGGCGCUGGAGAACUGAGGGGGGCUGCUCCUAGUACGAGAGGACCGGAGUGGACGCAUCACUGGUGUUCGGGUUGUCAUGCCAAUGGCACUGCCCGGUAGCUAAAUGCGGAAGAGAUAAGUGCUGAAAGCAUCUAAGCACGAAACUUGCCCCGAGAUGAGUUCUCCCUGACUCCCUGAGAGUCCUGAAGGAACGUUGAAGACGACGACGUUGAUAGGCCGGGUGUGUAAGCGCAGCGAUGCGUUGAGCUAACCGGUACUAAUGAACCGUGAGGCUUAACCU
This 2899-nucleotide ribosomal RNA is filed under the name Escherichia coli. Its description in RNAcentral is "23S ribosomal RNA". It matches the Rfam family "Bacterial large subunit ribosomal RNA". The record is from RNAcentral. Lineage: Bacteria; Pseudomonadati; Pseudomonadota; Gammaproteobacteria; Enterobacterales; Enterobacteriaceae.